UCUAUACUUCCGCCGUCCAACAAAGAUGUCUCAACUUCGACUAAAUUUAAAUGCAUCUGUACACUAAGUCAUGUCUAGAUGCAUUCAAAUUUUGACAAACUUGAGACAUCUUUUGUGGACGGAGAAAGUACAAG
Molecule: non-coding RNA, 134 nt
Organism: Brachypodium distachyon (stiff brome)
Lineage: Eukaryota; Viridiplantae; Streptophyta; Magnoliopsida; Poales; Poaceae
Source: Rfam